RNAcentral lists this ribosomal RNA (279 nucleotides) under uncultured Porphyromonadaceae bacterium. RNAcentral's name for it is "partial 16S ribosomal RNA". The stretch from base 38 to 279 matches the Rfam family "Bacterial small subunit ribosomal RNA", at positions 100 to 339 of the family's 1533-position model. Lineage: Bacteria; Pseudomonadati; Bacteroidota; Bacteroidia; Bacteroidales; Porphyromonadaceae. The record is from RNAcentral.
AGCACAUGACGUAGCAAUACAGAUGGUGGCGACCGGCGCACGGGUGAGUAACACGUAUGCAACCUACCUUCCACAGGAGAAUAACCCGUUGAAAAACGGACUAAUACUCCAUAACACAGGGAUCCCGCAUGGGAAUAUUUGUUAAAGAUUUUUUCGGUAGAAGAUGGGCAUGCGUUCCAUUAGCUAGUUGGUUGAGGUAACGGCUCACCAAGGCAACGAUGGAUAGGGGAACUGAGAGGUUUAUCCCCCACACUGGUACUGAGACACGGACCAGACUCC